RNAcentral lists this ribosomal RNA (403 nucleotides) under uncultured bacterium. RNAcentral's name for it is "partial 16S ribosomal RNA". It matches the Rfam family "Bacterial small subunit ribosomal RNA", at positions 30 to 526 of the family's 1533-position model. The record is from RNAcentral.
AUUGAACGCUGGCGGCAGGCCUAACACAUGCAAGUCGAGUGAGCGGCGGACGGGUGAGUAACGUCUGGGUACUGCCCGAUAGAGGGGGCUAACCACUGUAAACGGUGGCUAAUACCGCAUACUGUCGCAUAACCCAUAUGGGAUUGGCCAGUAGGUAAGGUAAUGGCUUACCUAGGCGCCGAUCCCUAGCUGGGCUGAAAGGAUGAUCAGCAACACUGGGACUGAGACACGGCCCAGACUCCUACGGAGGCAGCAGUGGGGAAUAGUGCACAAUGGGCGCAAGCCUGAUGCAGCCAUGCCGCGUGUAUGAAGAAGGCCCUAGGGUUGUAAAGUACUUUCAGUCGGGAGGCGUUACCGACAGAAGAAGCACCGGCUAACGCCGUACCAGCCGCCGCGGUAAUAC